UACAGAGGGGGCAAGCGUUAUUCGGAAUUACUGGGCGUAAAGGGCGCGUAGGCGGCACCGCAAGUCGACUGUGAAAUCUCCGGGCUUAACCCGGAAAGGUCAGCCGAUACUGCGGGGCUAGAGUGCAGAAGGGGCAACUGGAAUUCUCGGUGUAGCGGUGAAAUGCGUAGAUAUCGAGAGGAACACCUGCGGCGAAGGCGGGUUGCUGGGCUGACACUGACGCUGAUGCGCGAAAGCUAGGGGAGCGAACGGG
Molecule: ribosomal RNA, 253 nt
Filed under: uncultured bacterium
Lineage: Bacteria
Description: partial 16S ribosomal RNA
Rfam family: Bacterial small subunit ribosomal RNA
Source: RNAcentral